GAACCCAGCUUCUUUCCUCCAGGUCACCAAGGUCCUGGGCAGGACCGGUUCUCAGGGACAGUGCACGCAGGUGCGCGUGGAAUUCAUGGACGACACGAGCCGAUCCAUCAUCCGCAAUGUAAAAGGCCCCGUGCGCGAGGGCGACGUGCUCACCCUUUUGGAGUCAGAGCGAGAAGCCCGGAGGUUACGCUGAGCUUGGCUGCUCGCUGGGUCUUGGAUGUCGGGUUCGACCACUUGGCCGAUGGGAAUGGUCUGUCACAAUCUGCUCCUUUUUUUUUGUCCGCCACACGGAAUUGAGAUGCUCCUUUAAAUAAAGCGUUUGUGUUUCAAGUUAA
Molecule: small RNA, 335 nt
Filed under: Pan troglodytes (chimpanzee)
Lineage: Eukaryota; Metazoa; Chordata; Mammalia; Primates; Hominidae
Description: retained intron
Source: RNAcentral